RNAcentral lists this ribosomal RNA (449 nucleotides) under uncultured bacterium. RNAcentral's name for it is "bacterial SSU rRNA". It matches the Rfam family "Bacterial small subunit ribosomal RNA", at positions 338 to 795 of the family's 1533-position model. The record is from RNAcentral.
CCUACGGGUGGCUGCAGUCGAGGAUCUUCGGCAAUGGGGGCAACCCUGACCGAGCGAUGCCGCGUGGGCGACGAAGGCCUUCGGGUUGUAAAGCCCUGUCGAGGGGGAGAAAGGCCGCAAGGCGUGAUCUAUCCCUGGAGGAAGCUCGGGCUAAGUUCGUGCCAGCAGCCGCGGUAAGACGAACCGAGCGAACGUUGUUCGGAAUCACUGGGCUUAAAGGGCGCGUAGGCGGCCCGCCGCGUCCGGGGUGAAAUCCCGCGGCUCAACCGCGGAACGGCCCCGGGUACGGGCGGGCUGGAGGGGGGUAGGGGCAGGCGGAACGGUGCGUGGAGCGGUGAAAUGCGUUGAUAUGCACCGGAACUCCGGUGGCGAAGGCGGCCUGCUGGACCCCACCUGACGCUGAGGCGCGAAAGCCAGGGGAGCGAACGGGAUUAGAUACCCUAGUAGUC